Molecule: ribosomal RNA, 468 nt
Filed under: uncultured bacterium
Lineage: Bacteria
Description: partial 16S ribosomal RNA
Rfam family: Bacterial small subunit ribosomal RNA
Source: RNAcentral
GACGAACGCUGGCGGCGUGCUUAACACAUGCAAGUCGAACGGAAAGGCCCUGCUUUUGUGGGGUGCUCGAGUGGCGAACGGGUGAGAAACACGUGAGUAACCUGCCCUUGACUUUGGGAUAACUUCAGGAAGCUGGGGCUAAUACCGGAUAGGAGCUCCUGCUGCAUGGUGGGGGUUGGAAAGUUUCGGCGGUUGGGGAUGGACUCGCGGCUUAUCAGCUUGUUGGUGGGGUAGUGGCUUACCAAGGCUUUGACGGGUAGCCGGCCUGAGAGGGUGACCGGAGACAUUGGGACUGAGAUACGGACCAGACUCGUACGGGAGGCAGCAGUGGGGAAUAGUGCACAAUGAGCCGAAGUGUAAUGCAGCAACGCCGCGGGCGGGAUGACGGUCUUCGGGUUGUAAAAAGCCUCCGCCUGUGACAAAGCGGGAGUGACGGUAAUGGAUAAAGAAGCACCGGCUAACUACGUG